This 15574-nucleotide long non-coding RNA is filed under the name Marmota monax (woodchuck). Lineage: Eukaryota; Metazoa; Chordata; Mammalia; Rodentia; Sciuridae. The record is from RNAcentral.
GAUAUCAUUUAACAAAGGAGUUCUGGGGUUGGAGGUGUAGCUUAGUGGUUCAGCACAUUCUUUGGCCCUGGGUCCGCCUCAACACUGCCCACCUCCCCACAACAGGAAAACCAGAAAACCAAAACAAGUGAGUUUUACUGAAAGUGUGUUAUUGUAUCCUUUAAAGUUUAUAUACAUGUGACUUUAUGAUAAUAUAUACUCUUUUAGGAUAAAGAAGACAAAGGGUACAUGUGCCAUGGUACCACUUCAGGAGAAAUCAAAAGGUAAACUGGCUCAUCUUUUUUCCCACCAAAUGUUUUGUUAGAGUGUCACUUACUUAUCUUUUUUACUUCCUUUUUUAUUAUUAUUUUUAAUUGAUUUGUCUUUGUUUUAUUAAUGCUCUUUUUAACGUUGUUUAUUUAUUUCAUAAACUUAGAGGAUCUUGAGUCCAGUAUGCACAUACAUUUAUAAUCUCAGGACCCUAGGAUAGGCCCUCACUUGGACCAUGUAGUAGCCUGUAAACUGAUCCUGUUUUGAGUUUCUGACCUUUGAAAUCCUUUGACUUAAAGCCCUAACACCUUGAUCUUUAAUCACAUUACUGCCUUCUUCAAAAAACAAUAGCUUCUCAUUACCUAUAGACUUAAGUAUGACUUUCUUAGUCUUUCAUUGAACCCUUUACCAACUUCCCCUAACUUUCCAUUCCAACCUUAUCUUCUAAUUUUAUUUAUUUAUUUUUUUUUGUGAAUCUUGUUUACCAAAGACAUCUCACUACACCAACAGUUUGGGUUACAAAAAACUACUCUUUUUAGUUUUGGGUUUUUUUUGGUUUGGUACUGGGGAUUGAACUGUGGAUCACUUAGCUACAUCCUCAGCCCUUUUUAUUUUGAGACAGGCUUGAACUUCUGAGAAUUUGUAAUUGAAUUUGUAAUCCUCAUGCGUAGUCUCCCAAGUAGCUGGGAUUAUAGGUAUGUACCACUGCAGGAGUCUGGAAUCAAUUUAUUCUGAAGUGCAUAGUGACUAAGAGGGUUUACAGCGUUGUGAUAUAUUUUUGCCAUAUUCAGAGGGACAGCUCAUCCUCUGAAGCUUAAAAAUUAGGCAUUCUGAGGCUGGGGUUGUGGCUCAGCAGUUGAGUAUUCGCCUAGCACUUGUGAGGCCCUGGAUUCGAUCCUCAGCACCGUAUAAAGAUAAAUAAAAUAAAGGUAUUGUGUCCAGCUACAAUUAAAAAAUAAAUAUUAAAAAAAUUAGGCAUUCUCAUCUCCCUGUUUUUGAUUUGUUUGAUCAGAAUUUUAUUUUUCAAAAAUAGACACUGGAAAAUCUGUUCUCUCAGAUUUGUCAUGAUGUGUUCAAGAUUGUAAAGAACUUCCUAGAAGUAUACUUAUGCUUCAUUCCUUCCUUUUAUAUGUGACUGAUUUAUGAGGAAAUUAUACCAAAGGAACCAUACCUGACACAUGACAUAAUGCAUAUGACUAGCAUGUAAGUUCUAGCUAUUCCCUGAGGUAAUUUUGUCCAAAGUUAAUGUUAAAGAUUCAUGAGCCAUACAGUUAAAAGUUUUCCAUUAAAAAAAAUGUGGGGGUCUUUUGUUGAUUAUUGUCUAAGCCAGGGAUUUCAUUUUUAAAUUUUUUUGGGGGGAGGGGUUACUGGAUUUUGAACUAAGGGGCGUUCCACCACUGAGCCACAUCCCCAGCCCUUUUUAUUUAUUUAUUUAUUUAUUUAUUAUUUAUUUAUUUAUUUAUUUUUAAUUUAGAGACAGGGUCUCACUGAAUUGCUUAGUGCCUCACUUUUGCUAAGGCUGGCUUUGAACUUCUGAUCUUCCUACCUCAGCCUCCCAAGCCACUGGGAUUAUAGUCAUGUGCCAUCAUGCCAGGCUUAAGCCAGGGAUUUUAAACAGUGAUAGUAUUAACAUUUUGAACUAGAUAGUUCUUUAUUGUGAGCCAUGUCUUGUGCAUUGUAGAAUGUUUAGAAGCAUCCACAGCCUCUACCCACUGUACGCCCCGGCACCCACAGCUGUGAAAAAUAAAACAACAAAAAAAGUCUCUAGAUAUUGAAAAACAUUAAAAAAAAAAGUGCAGCAAAAUCCCCUUUAGUUGAGAAACACUGGUCUAAGCAUGACACCCACAGCAUUAUAUGUUAUUUACUUUUUGUCUUUCAGGCUAUCAAAUGAUCUAUCCUUUAUCCAAAUGCACUAAAUAUUUCCUUCCCAGACUUUCAAACCCUUUCUAUUUAUUUAUUUUUGUGGUAAUGGGAAUUGAACCCAAGGACAUUUUAACACAGGGAGAGGGUCUCAUUAAAUUGCAGAGGUUGGCUUUGAAUAAAAUAAAGGUAUUGUGUUCAGCUACAACUGAAAAAUAAAUAUUAAAAAAUUCGGCAUUCUCACCUCUCUGUUUUUGAUAUGUUUGAUAUGUUUGUCCUUUCUCAGAUUCCUGAGUAGCUGGCAUUAUAGGCAUGUGCCACCACACCCAGCUUUAUUUUUAACAUAACCAUGGUUGUCAUCUUCUAGUGCAUUCAUCACUUAAAACAACAAUAAAAACUGAAAUUGUAAGGCCUCUGUUGAUGAGGUUUGUAACAGAAUUGACAGUAGCUUUGUGAGUACAUCUAUGGAAGUUCAUAAGGUAACAUGCUCAUAAAAUUUUCCUUGGCUAUUUCCUUACUCUGGAUUUCCAUAAGCCAUAAAAACUUCUGUUAUCAACAGAAGGCAUAAAAGAAAAAUAAGAAUGUUAAUCGGAACAAAAGACGUGUGUUUUGCAUCUUGGCCCAAACAAACAUUUGUUUGCCUAUUUUCCAAAAGACCAACUUUAUGGCUCUUUCAACUUUAUGGCUCUUUGAGAAUAGGUGUGAAUAUACGGGCCUUUUCAAAAUCCAUAUGUUAUAACCUAAUACCUAAUGUGAUGACAGGAGGAGCUGGCAUUUGGAGGAAUGAUUGUCACGGGGAUCUUGCUCUCAUGAGUAGAUUAGUGCGCUUAUUAAAAGAGGUUGAAGGGGGCACCCUAGUGCCCUCCUAGCUCUUCCCCCUUUUGAGAACUCAGCAUUCAUCCACUUUUGGCCUUCCCCACUCUGCCAUGUGAGGACAUAGCAAUAAAGCUCCAUCCUGGAAGCAAAGAGUAGGCCUUCAAGUGACCCAUUCUGCCAGCAUUUGAUCUUGGACUUCCCAACCUCUGGAACAGUGAGAAAUAAACUUCUGUUCUAUCAAUUAUCCAGCCUGCAUUAGUAUGGUGUAGCAGCAGGAACAGAACCACAGGUGCUCUGUCUUACUUAACUUUGUACCCCUGCAGUACCUAUGUAAGGUUCUGCAACAAAUAUACUUGCUGAAAAUUAUUUUCUUCAGAGACAUAUAAGAAGGCAGUUAAUUUUUUUCACCAAACAUGAAUUAAGUAUUGAUCAUAUGUCAGGUAUUGUUCUAGUUACUAAGCCUUGAGGAUACACCCCUGAACAAAACAAAGAUUCCUGCUCUUGUGGAGCAUAUAUUCUAGUAAGAAAAUAUAGCCCACAAACACUUGAUACAAUCAGCAAGUCCAUUAUGUAGCAUAUUAGAAAUUAAGGACAGCCUGGCACAGUGAUGCACACCUGUAAUCCCAGCUACUGAGACAGGAGGAUGGCAAGUUUGGAAACAAAAUUUAAAAAGGGCUGGGGAUAUAGCUCAAAGGCAGAAUGUUCCUGAGUUCAAUCCCCAGUACCACACACACACACACACACACACACACACAAAAAUUAGGCAUGCUAGAAACAAUAAAAAUAGAGCAGAGUAAGGAAAGUUAUGGGAUAUAGUUAAAGGAGGGAUGUAUAUAUUUUCCUCCUCAUAUUUUUUUAUUUUAGAGAGACAUUUAUAAAUUCAUAUUCAAAGAGAAUUGGAAAUGCACUUGGAUUCUUCGUAUUAUUUAAUUUUACCAAUGUUUUAUACUUAGGACUUCAUAAAGAAAAUAGGAUGACUAUACCAAAGUAUGUAAUUAUAGUUUGAGGACAUUUCUCAGAUUAUUAGUAAGUGAAAAUAAUUUUCAGUAACUUGGGAGAAUGACUUCUUCCUGAUUAAAAAUAUUCUAACUGUGCCCCUUCAAAAUAUCAAGUGUUAUCCCCAUGUAGUUCUUAUUUGAUGGAUGAAUGAGAAAUAAGGACUCUUUAUUUGUUGGAAUUUGAUAAAUUUCAUAGGAACAUUAUCCUAAUUAUUGAGGUUUGGCACCUUCCCCUAGUAGUACCUGUAUUAAGAGGAAACAUCAAUGUUGAUGGACUAACUAAUGUUUUGUUGUUGUUGUUGGUUUUGUGUGUGUGUAUGUGUGUGUGUGUAUAAAUUCCUCUUUAUUUAAAAAAUAGUUUUAAUUUUCUUUUUUUAUUUAUUCUCUUUAGUUAUAUAUGACAACAGAAUCCAUUCUGAUAUACUCACACAAGCAUCUUAUUCUAGUUUCCAUUCUUAUGGAUGUACACAGUGGUGGGAUUCACUGUGUUGUUUUCAUAUAUGUACAUGGGGAAACGAUGUCAGUUUCAUUCCGUUGUCUUUCCUGUUCCUAUCUCCCUCUCGUCCUUCCAUUCCCCAUUGUCUAAUCUGCUGCACUUCUUUUCUUCCCCUCCCUCUCCCCCCAUUGUGGAUUAGCUUCCACUUAUCAGAGAAAACAUUCAAGUUUGGUUUUUUGAGACUGGCUUACUUCACUUAGCAUGAUAGUCUCCAGAUCCAUCCACUUGCUGGCAAAUGUCAUCAAGUUUUUCUUCUUUAUGGCUGAGUGUUUUAGUCAACUUUUUUGCUGCUGUGACUAAAAGAUCCAACCAGAACAACUUUAGAGGAGGAAAAGUUGACUUGAGGGCUCAUGGUUUCAGGGGUCUCAGUCCAUAGAAGGCUGCUCCAUUCCUUGGGGCUUAAGAUGAAGCAGAACAACAUGGCAGAAUAAUGUGGCAGAGUGAGGCAGCUCACAUUAUGAUAAGAAAGCAGAGAGAGAUUCUGCUGGCCAGAUACAAAAUAUAUUCCCCCAAAGCCACACUAGUAAUGCCCACCUCCUCCAGCCACACCCUACCAGCCUGCAGUUGCCACUCAGUGAAUCCCUAUCAGGAAAUUAACUCACUGAUUGGGUUAAGGUUCUUACAACCCAAUUAUUUCUCAUCUGAACCUUUUUGCAUUGUGUCAUACAUGAGCUUUUGGGGGACACCUCACAUCCAAACCAUAACACUGAGUAAUGUUUCAUAUAAAUAUAUCCAAUCAUCUAUUGAAGGGCACCUAGGUUGAUUCCAUAGUUUAGCUAUUGUGAAUUGAACUGCUAUAAAAUCGAUGUAGCUGUGCACUAUAGUAUGCUGAUUUUAAGUCCUUUGGAUAUAUACCAAGGAGUGGGAUAACUUAGUCAAAUGGUGGUUCCAUUCCAAGUUUUUUUUUAAUAUUAUUUUGGGUUUUUUUUUUUUAUAUUUUUGUGGUUCUGAGAAUCGAACCCUGUACCUCACACCUGCUAGGAAAGCACUCUGCCACUGAGCCACAACCUCAGCCCACCAUUCUAAGUUUUUUGAGGAAUCUCCAUGCUACUUUCCACAGAUUUGCAGUCCCACCACGUGUGUUCUUUUUUUUUUUAAAUGGGAAGAACUAAUGCAACCACAAUAAUAUUUUCACAGUAGAAAUAAUCACAGAUAAUUCCUUAAUCCCAUAUGCCCAGUCAAUACACAGAUUUUUCUAAUUGUUUCAAAUUAAUUUUAUAGUUUUAAAUAUAAAUAAAUCUGGUUCAUACUAGGAGCAUCCAUUGCAACCACAUGUGUUCUUGAUCAUUGUCUUUCUGAUUGGAGUGAGAUGGAAUCUCAGUGUAGUUUUAAUUUACAUUUCUCUAAUUGCUAGAGAUGUCGAAUUUUUUUAUUUAUUUGUUGACCAACAUAUUUCUUCUUCUAUGAAGUGUCUGUUCAUUUCCUUAGCCCAUUUAUUGAUUGGGUUAUUUAGUUUUCUUUUGUUGUUAAGUUUUUUGAGUUCUUUAAAUAUCCUGAAAAUUAAUGCUGUAUCUCAGGUGCAGGUGGCAAAGAUUUUCUCCCAUUUUGUAGGCUCUCUUCACUUUCUUGAUUGUUUCCUUUGCUGUGAAGAAGCUUUUUAGUUUGAUGCCAUCCCACUUAUUGAUUACUGAUUUUACUUCUUGCACUUUAGGGGUUUUAUUAAGGAAGUCAGUUCCUGUGCCAAUGUGUUGGAGUGUUGGGCCUACCUUUCUUUUAAUAUGUGCAGGGUCUCUGGUCAAUAUCUAGGUCCUUGAUUUACUUAGAGCUGUGUUUUGUGCAGGUAAGAGACAGUGGUUAAAUUUCAUUUUGCUGCAUAUGGAUUUCCAGUUUUCCCAGCACUAUUUGUUGAGAGAGGCUAUCUUUUCUCCAAUGUAUGUUAUUAGCACCUUUGUGCCAAACCAUAACAUGAAAAUCUUUGUAACAUCUCAAAGUAUCUGUGGAUGAGCCAAAUUUGUUUCAGCACCUUCUACUCUCUUCUAUUGGUUUUCUUGCCUGUUUUGGUGCCAAUACCAUGCUGAUUUUGUUACUAUAACUCUAUAGUAUAAUUUUAAGUCUGGUAUUGUGAUGCCUCUUGCUUCAUUUUUUUUACUAGGGAGUGCUUCGGUUAUUAUGGGCCUCUUGUAUUUUCAGAUGAAUUUUAUGAGUGCUUUUUCUACUUCCAUGAAGAACAUUAUUAGAAUUUUGAUGGGAAUUGCAUUGAAUCUGUAUAGUGCUUUUGGUAAUAUGUCCAUUUUGACAAUAUUAAUUCUACCUAGCUAAGAACUUGGGGGCGGGUCUUUCCAUCUUCUGAUGUCUUCCUCAAUUUCUUUAUUUAGUGUUCUGUAAUUUUUAUUACAGAGAUCUUUCACCUGUUUUGUGAAAUUGAUUGCCAGGUUUUUUUAUUUUUAUUUUUUGAGGCUAUUGCAAAUGAGAUAGUUUUCCUAAUUUCUCUUCAGCUGAUUUGUCAUUGGAGUAUAGGAAUGCAACUGAUUCAUGAGUGUUAAUUUUGUAUCCCGCUAUUUUGCUGAAUUCCAUUUAUGAGUUCUAGAGGUUUUCUGGUAAAGUUUUUUGGAUCUUCUAAAUACAGGAUCAUGUCAUUGGCAAACAGAGCUAGUUUUAGCUCUUCUUUUCCUAUUGAUAUCCUUUUAUUUCAUUCUUUUGCCUAAUUACUUUGGCUAGAGAUUUGGGGAAUAGGUUAAAUAGAAGUGGUAAAAGUAGGCAUCCUUGUCUUAUUCCUGGUUUUAGAGGGAAUGCUUUCAGUUUUUCUCUAUUUAGAAUGACAUUGGCCUUGAGUUUGUCAUAUAUUGUUUUUACAAUGUUGAGUGUUCAGGUAUGAUCCUUUUAUUCCUGUUUUUUUUUGAGUGUUUUAAUCAUAAAUGGAUGCUACAUUUUGUUAAUGCUUUUUCUGCAUCUAUUGACAUAAUAAUGUGAUUCUUUUCUUUAAGACUAUUGAAGUGCUGAAUUACAUUUAUUGAUUUUUUUUUUUUUUGAGGUGCUGGGGAUCGAACCCUGGGCUUCAGGAAUGCCAGGCAGGCAAAUCCUUUUCCAUUGAGCCACAUUCCCAACCUAACUUACAACUUUAAAUAGGGUCAUGAGGGUAGGUAUAAUUGAGAAGAUAAUGUUUGAGAAAAAAACUUGAAAGAGGUAAGGGAGUUAAGUUAUUCUGGUAGGUCCAGAAAAUGCCCCAAGACAGGAUGGUGCCUGGCCUGUUGGAAGAACAUUAGGAGUCUAGCUUAGCUAAGGAGUAGAAGAUGAGAUAGGAGAAACAACAGGAUCUCUAGUCAUGGAGGACCUUAGAAAGGACCUUGUAUGUGACUCUGAUUGAAAUGAGGAGCCACUGAAUGAUUUUAUUAAAAGAAUGAUUUCAAUGUGGUCUAAGUUUUAAAAAGAUCACUAUGGCAACUACCAUCUGUUUCAAUAGCUAUUCUUUUUAAAAAAUGACCUUGAAAAUUCCUACUUUUAACUCUGAUGGAAUGAAUAGCUUGUAUCAGAACAACUUUACCAGCAGACAACUUGAGAGGCCAAGAUCCUGAAGGAAUACCCAAAGUUAAGUGAGCCAAAAUUCCUCAAGCAUAUUUCCUUCUACCUAGAAGAAAAUCAAUUUAUCUCAAGAGUAAUAUAAAAUGAACCAUAUCCUUGAAGGCAACCGAACACAGUGUCUAAUAUUUAAUUAAUAUUUACCAGACAGGCUUCUUUUGGGAGACCACAUAGCCCUAAGGUUACUUGAGAAUUUGACCCAAAGAUGGAUAUCAGACCAAAUCACACAAUUUAUAUCAACCAUAUGAAUAACAAAAAUCUUUUUAAUAAAAAGAAUUGAAGAGCUUCCUAUAUGCCCCUUUUUCUCAGUUUGGGCAUAUGGUAGAUGUUGUGGCUUUAAAGGCCAUAAGAUGACAGAACUUUUUUUUCCCCCAUAUAACAAAUAUGCAUUGUUAUAUUUAAGCAACUGGGCUCAUCUGCAAAUACUUCUAGACAGUUACAAAGAUUUUCAUUUUAUGGUAUACCAAUGUAAACCAGCAUGUGAAAACAGAUUCUGAUAUAUGUCUAAAAUGCAUGACACUUUUGCUGGCAAAGAAAAGAAAUAAGCCAAAACUGUGGAACAGACUGCAACAAUUACAAACAAAAAGGCUGAUCAGGGAACACCAAAUCCAGCAAAUCCCCAAAGAAAUUCCAUACCAAGUCCUCACAUCCCUGAUUACCCUCCAAACUAUCGACUAAUGAGAAGAUGUUAUUCAUGCCGUUGAAUCAGGUCCCUUGUUUUAGGGAAGUAUGAUUGAUACUUGGGAGGCAUGGCAUUACUUUUGUCAAAUUUGGAAAGGAUGCUUUUAUAAGGUGUUGCGAUCACACCAUUCCAUGCCAUGAAGAUAACCUACGCCAAGAAAUAACAUUUGGGAUAGUCAUGUUAAGUGGACAUGGUGUUAUUUAUAGUAUGUGUUUUGAAAACAUUUGGUCAAGUCGUUUUAAAAUGGUUGGAGGCGGGGGGAGAAGUUAAGUGAAAUGUUUAUGAAGGACAUAAAAAUCAUAGAGUCUUUCUCUAGCUUUAGUGAACUAUGAAAUAUGAAGGCCUUAAUUUUGUACACUAAAGUUUUCUUUUAUUUAUUAAAAAAAAAAGUUACCAGAGAGAAGAGGGACAACAACCAAGAGAAGGAACAGACAACAGAGGCAGACCUACAAAUGAUCCAAACGUCUUAGUCUGUUUGGGUUGUUAUCACAAACUAGUAUAAACUGGGGAUCUUAUAAAAAACAGAAAUUUAUUUAUUUAGUGUUUCUGUAUAUUUAGCUCUAAAAAGUAAAUGUAAUCUAUACCUGAAUGACCAAUUGCCCAACUAAAAUUCUAUUAUGAAAGAAGGAGUAGAAAGGGGAAUUUAGUUUGCUACUCUCUUUUUUUUUAGCAUUGGGAAUUUUACCCAGGGUGCUUAUCCAAUGAACCACACACUCAGCCCUUUUUGAGAUAGGGUCUCACUAAGUGACUUAAGGCUUUACUAAAUUUCUCAGCCUGGCCUUGAACUUGUUAUCCUCUUUCUUCAGCCUCCCAAAUUGCUGGGAUUAUAGGUGUAUACCACCACAUCUAGCCACAAUUCUUUUUGAACUAAAAUUUCUAACUUUCUAUUUCAACUAUUUAGAAAUAUAGUUAUUUUUUGGUAGUUUGAUCUUUUCGCCAUUCACCAGGCUGAAAUUCUUUUUUUUUUUUUUUGGUCAUUAAUAUAUAGAUUAUUUUGGAUUACCUAUGCAGAUUAUCAUGGUCAUUUCUCAAUAAUGUCAGUUUUGUUUCCUUCCUUUCUGAAUCCUAAGCCUUAGUUUUCUUAUCUUACUAACCUGGCAAGAACCACCAAUAUAAUGCAAAAUAGAAAGGAAUAGUAGGCAUCUUUGAUUCAUUUCUGAUUUUCAAAGGGACUUCCCUUAAUAUCUCCUCUAUAAGAAUAAUGUUAGUUACAGGGUUUUAAAUUUUUUUUUUCCUUUUGAAUACCCAAGAUUGAAUUCAGAGGCAUUCAACCACUGAGCCACAUCCCCAUCCCUAUUUUGUAUUUUAUUUAGAGACAGGGUCUCACUGCAUUGCUUCACCUUGCUUUUGCUGAGUCUGGCUUUGAACUUGAGAUUCUCCUGUCUCAGCCACUGGGAUUACAGGUGUGCUCCACUGAGCCUGGCUUAGUUACAGGUUUGAGUAGUUAUCCUUUAGUAAGUUAAAGAAGUCCCCUUUAAUUUUCUAAGAUUUUUUUUCCAUAAAUGAGAGUUAAAAUUUUAUCAAAUAUUUUUCCUGGAUAGAUUGAAGUGAUGAUAUGAUUUUUUUUACUUGAAGAAUACCAUGUAUAGAUUAUAUGAUGCUAAGUGGCUCUUGCCUUCUGAGGGUCAUCCAGUUUAGGCAUGAUUGCUAUCUUUUUAUGUACUUCCAUAUUAAAUUACCUAAUAAUUCAUUUGGAAUUUUAAUAAAAUCCCUGUUUUAAAAAUUUAUUUAUUGGGCUGGGAUUGUGGCUCAGCGGUAGAGUGCUCACCUAGCAUCGGCGAGACCCGGGUUCCAUCCUCAGCACCACAUAAAAAUAAAGGCAUUGUGUUGUGUCCAAAUACACCUAAAAAAAAAAAAAAGAAAGAAAAAGAUUUGUUAAAAAAAUAGAAUUAUUUAUUUUAAUUAGGUAUAUAUGACAGCAGAAUGCCUUUUGAUUCAUUGUAAAACAACUGCAGCACAAUUUUACAUUUCUUGGUUAUACACAAUGCAAUGUCGCACCAUAUGUGUAGUCAUACAUGUACCUAGGGUAAUGAUGUCCAUCUCAUUCCACCAUCUUUCCUACCCCCAUUUCCCCUCCCCACUCCACCCUUCCCUUUGCCCCAUCAAAGUUCCUCCAUUUUCCCAAUGUUCACCCGCAUUAUGGGUCAGCAUCUACUUAUAAGAGAGAACAUUCGGCCUUUGGUUUGGGGGGAUUGGCUUACUUUACUUAGAAUGAUAUUCUCCAACUCCCUCCAUUUACCUGCAAAUGACAUAAUGGAACCACCAUUUGACCCAGCUAUCCCACUCCUCUGUCUAUACCCAAAGGACUUAAAAUCAGCAUACUAUAGUAAUGCAGCCACAUCAAUGUUUAUAGCAGCUCAACUCACAAUUCAUAAGCUAUGAAAGCAACCUAGACGCCCUUCAAUAGAUGAAUGGAUAAAGAAACUGUGGUUUAUAAACACAAUGGAAUAUUACUCAACAUUAAAAAGGAAUUAAAAAACCCUUUUUAAGAAUGAGACUGCCACUCAUUUUCCUUUUGGUCCUGUCCUUAUAUGAAUUCAAUGUCAAGAUGAUAAUGGCUUCAUGGAAUGAACUGGAGAGUAUUCUCUCUCUUUCUGUUCUCUGAAGGAUUUGACCUAAACUCGAAAUGAUCUCUAUGUUGAAACUCUGAUAGAUUUAUUUGUAAAAUUAUUUGGGUUACUUGUUUUCUUUGUGGGAAUCAUUUAAUAUUUAUUCAGUAAUUUUAAUUUUAGGACUCAAUGCAUUCUAUUCUUUCAAUCAGUUUUGGUAAGUUAUAUUUUCAAGAAACUUCUGCCUCUAUCUCAGUUUUUAAAUUUAUUGACCCAAAAGUUAGUCUUUGCUCUAGCUGUAUUUCUGUCCCUCUUUUCCUAAUAUUAGGUAUUUGCACCUUCUUUCCUUUUUCCCCUUAAUUACUUUUGCCAGAAGCAUUUUUUUUUCCAUUCGACUUUUCAAUGAAAACUUUUGUCACUUUAAAUUCUAACUUUGGUUUCUAUUUCACUGAUUUUCCCUCUUUCCUAUAUUAUAUUUGUUUCUUCUAUGCUGUUUGGGUUUGAUCUUUCCUAUAUUAUAUUUUUUUAUUCUAUGCUCUUUGGGUUUAUUUUAUUCUUUUUCUAACGUGUAUCUUAGGCUUAUAAAUUUCAACCUUCAAUUCAUAUAUGUAUGUGUGUGUGUGUGUGUGUGUGUGUGUAUAUAUAUAUAUAUAUAUAUAUAUAUAUAUAUAUAUGAGAGAGAGAGAGAGAGAGAGAGUUUUUUUGUUUGUUUGUUUUUUUCUGCGUGUGUGUGUGUGUUACCAGGGAUUGAACCCAGGGGCACUCAUCACUGAGCUACAUCUCAGCCCUUUUUAUAUUUUAUUUUAUUUUUAUAAGAACAUGAACUUUUAAAAUUUUGUUCUAAUUAGUUAUGAAUAAUAGUGGAAUAUAUUUUGAUAUAUUCUACAUAUAUGGAGUAUAACUUCUCAUUUUUUUGAUUAUACAUAAUAUAGGAUUACAUUGGUUGUGUAAUCAUAUACGCACAUAGAAUAGUAAUGUCUGAUUCUUUCUAUUAUCUUUACUAUUUCCAUUCCCCCUCCCCUCCCUUCAUUCCCCUUGGUCUAAUCCAAAGUACUUCUAUUCUUCUCUAAACCUGCUCCCAUUGUGAAUUAGCAUCUAUAUAUCAAAGAAAAUAUUUGGCCUUUGAUUUGAUUGGUUUAUUUCACUUAACAUAAUAUCCUCCAGCUCCAUCCCUUUACAGGCAAAUGCCAUCAUUUUAUUCUUCUUUAUGGCUGAGUAAUAUUCUAUUGUGUAUAUGAACCACAUUUUCUUUAUCCAUUCAUUUGUUGAAGGGCAUCUAGGUUGGUUCCAUAGUUUAGCUAUUGUAAAUUGAGCUGCUGUAAACACUGUUGUGGCUAUGUCACUGUAGUAUAUUGAUUUUAAGUCCUUUGGGUAUAAACUGAGGAGUAGGAUAGCUGGGUCAAAUGGUGGUUCCAUUCCAAGUUUUCUGAGGUAUCUCCAUACUGCUUUCUAUAGUGGUUACACCAAUUUGUAGUGCCACCAGCAAUGUGUGAGUGUGCCUUUUCCUCCAUGUCCUCGCCAACAUUUAUUGUUACUUGUAUUCUUGAUAAUUGCCAUCUGUCUGGAGUGAGAUGAAAUCUCAGUGUGGUUUUAAUUAGCAUUUUUCUAGUUGCUAGAGAUGUUGAACAUUUUUUUCAUAUAUUUGCUGAUCAAUAGUAUUUCUUCUUCUGUAAAGUGUCUGUUCAGUUUCUUAGCCCAUGUAUUGAUUGGGUUAUUUGUUUUUUAGGGGGGGUGUUAACUUUUUUGAGUUCUUAUAUUUUAUUUUGAGAGGGUGUCUCACUAAGUUGCUGAGACUUUGGUGAAAUUGCCAAGGCUGGCCAGGAAUUUGCAAUCCUCCUUCCUCAGCCUCCAGAGUUGCUGGGAUUACAGGUGUGUCCCAUCCCACCCAACCCUGAUUGUAUUCUUAAGGUUUAUCUCUCUCUCACUCUCAGCUUCCCAUUUGUUUGUUUGAAGCAAAACAAACAAACAAUAACAAUUGCAUUGGAGAACUGAAAAUCUCUUUUUACACUUGAAACUAUUCAAGGUGAAGUUACAUAAUGGUAUUUUAAAGAAACAUGGCACAUCGAUAAUCCCAGUGACUCAGGAGGCUCAAGCAGGAGAAUUACAAUAGAGACCCUAAGCAACUCAGCAAGACCCUGUCUCAAAAAUAAAGCUGGGCACAGUGGUGCAUGCCUGUACUCUUAUUAAUUGGGAGGCUGAGUCAGGUUCUCAAAUAAAAGAUAAAAGAGACUGGGACUAUAAUUCAGUAAUGAAGUGCCCCUAUGUUCAAUCUUGAUACAAAAGAAAAGAAGUGGAAAGAAAGAAGAAAAAGUAAAUAAAAAGUAAAAAGGGUUGGGGAUGUAGCUUUGUGAUAAAGUGCCUCUGGGUUUAAUUCCCAGUACCUAAAUGAAUAUGGGUCAGUAUAUUAUUUUCAAAGACCAAUCUGUUUCUCAAUAGAAGUAUUUCUACAUAUUUACGUAUUUAAGGCAAUAUAUAGUGACUACGUGGGAACUUUGAGUUUAAUGGCUCUGUGAUGAAACCCUGCUGAUGGAGUCCCUAGUUAUGUGCCCUUGGACAAGUUGGGUAGCCUCCCUAAAUCACUUCUUAAAGAUCUGGAAUCUGGGAUAAUACUACUUACUACUACUUUAUUGUGUUGUUGUAUUGAUAAAAUAGUUGUAAACUUGACAUAGAUAAUUCAAUAAGUGCCAUUAUUAUUACUACUACUCCAUAAUAGAUGCUUGAUUAGUAUUUUUUUCACCUACAUGAAUGAUUUAUUUAACUAUAUAACUUUGCUAUAUUACUUUAUUUAGCAUUUAUGAGAAACUAUUUUAUUUGGAGAAAAUAACUUGAUGAAUGUGUAAGAUAUGAAACAGGUAUUUCUUUAUAGAGAUUGUGCUUUUACUUUGGAAUAAAUUCCACAGCCAUCCUGUGUUUUAAGAAGCAUGAUACAAUCCAGGCUUGGGAGUGCACACCUGUAAUCCCAGCAGCUUGUGAGGUUGAGGCAGGAGGAUCACAAGUUCAAAGCCAACCUCAGUAAAAGCAAGGCGCUAAGCUACUCAGUGAGACCCUGUCACUAAAUAAAAUACAAAAUAGAGCUGGAAUAUGGUUCAGUGGUCGAGUGCUCCUGAGUUCAAGCCCUGGUAACUGCGCCCUCCCAAAAGAAGCAGACUUAGAAAUAGUUUUAGAUAAUUAAAUAGAAAUAUAUAUAAUAUUAUUAUUAUUUUGCAAAAAUAUAGGGAUUGAACCCAGAGGCAUGCUACUGCUGAGCUGCAUCCCAAGCCCCUUUUAUUUUUUUCUUUUGAGACAAGGUCUUCAAUAAGUUGCUGAAGCUGGCCUCAAAUUUGCAACCCUCCUUCCUUAGCCUCCCAAGUCUCUGGGAUUACAGGCAUGUGCCACCAUGCCCAGGCAAAAGCAUUAUUUUUUAAUUAAAUAUUUUUUUAUGUGACUUACCAUCAUAGUCACAGAUAUUGUGGGAAGUAAGGCAUUGGCAUUUCUAACUCAAAGUAUAUAUUAUAUGAAGAUCUAAUAGUGUUUUAUGGUCACUGUGAAAUCACUAUUUACUCGCAAUUUUUUGUAAACUGAUUAUGCGUGCAAACUUAAUUUAACUUGAAAAGCUGAUUUUCUCCCCCACAGAUUCUAAUUUCAGUGACCCCGUUACUGGAGCACCAGUUCAGUACUUACAAAGACUUUCCAAAAUGGCUCUUUUGGAGUUUAAUACCAUUCGUCAGGAAACAAGUAAAAAAUCAAAAAAAGGCAAGAAGCGAGAGUUACGAGACUACUGAUAAAUACCAUACGGUGUGAUGCUUUCUUCACUGCUUUUUAAGGUUUAUAGUUGCUUUUUUUUUUUUUUGAUAUGUGAUAUGAUGUGCAAUGAUUUACAUAAAAAUGGAAAUGUAAAUAUGAAAUAAAUAUUUUAUGUUAUACGUGGAAUGGUUUGUAUUUUGUUAACAUCACAAAGAGUCAUUUAAAUUAAGGGAAUAUAAGCAUUAGAGAAAUUAUAUUCCCUGAAUUUUAUGCACAUUGAUUUUUUUCCUUUAGACUUAAUUGACUCAACAUUAUUUGAGUACCUGUCUGUGCAAUGAACUUUGCUGCAGAAAGUCUUCCUGGAAGACAAAAGAAGACGGAAAGAGGAGGAGAGUCGGUGUCCUUGCAUGUUUUAUAUUAAUUUACACAAAUACACUAUUAAUAUGUAUGUGUUUGUCUGCAUUAUUACAAUGGAUUAGUUCCUAGGAGGAUAACUAAUUUAAAUGGUUUUGUUUAUAUUUUGAUUGGGAUCAUAUGAAUUUUGAUCAUAUGAGAACAUGUGAAUUUUCAAAAUCAUAUAAAUUUUGAUUGAGAAUGAUUCAAAUACUACCUGUAUUAAAAGGUAUUCUCAAUAAAAAUUUGGUGACCUUUCUUGAACGAGCACUUCUUUGACUGUCAGGUGGAU